RNAcentral lists this ribosomal RNA (253 nucleotides) under uncultured bacterium. Its description in RNAcentral is "partial 16S ribosomal RNA". It matches the Rfam family "Bacterial small subunit ribosomal RNA", at positions 524 to 776 of the family's 1533-position model. The record is from RNAcentral.
UACGUAGGGGGCAAGCGUUGUUCGGAAUUACUGGGCGUAAAGGGCGCGUAGGCGGCACGGCAAGUCGGGAGUGAAAGGCCUGGGCUCAACCCAGGAACGGCUUUCGAGACUGCCGAGCUAGAGUGCGGAAGGGGCAACUGGAAUUCCCAGUGUAGCGGUGAAAUGCGUAGAUAUUGGGAAGAACACCGGAGGCGAAGGCGGGUUGCUGGGCCGACACUGACGCUGAGGCGCGAAAGCCAGGGGAGCAAACGGG